Vollenhovia emeryi is the source of this 1091-nucleotide long non-coding RNA. RefSeq lists it as uncharacterized. The transcript has 3 exons. The record is from RefSeq and is a predicted model, not a curated record. Lineage: Eukaryota; Metazoa; Arthropoda; Insecta; Hymenoptera; Formicidae.
UUGAAUUCUUAUGGAAACACUUUUACUCUUCAUAAUAAGCUGAUUAAGAUUACAAUGCCGCGACGUAGAAGACCUGAGGAAAAUAUUAGUAAAUCUGAGUUAUUUCGUUGCGCAAAAAAACAAACGAUUCGAGAACUAGAAGAAAUAUCUUCUAUUGUGUUUCAAUCACACGAAAGCUCGGCUAUAAUUAGACCCAAAGAGGAAAUCUAUACAGAAACAGUAAAUAAUGUUCUUUUAACAAAAGACAAUGACAGUCAAACAGAACUCUCAAAUGCCCAGGAAGUACACAACGAACAUUUUAAUGAACAUAUUGCAAUGGAUUUCGAUACAGAGUAUCAAUACAGCGAUAGCGAAUUAAAUUCUGAAAUAGAUGCAUACAGCAGCUGUGAUGUUAAUACCUAUAUAUGACGAGGAUAUGGAAAAUCCAGAAAAAUUGCUUGGCAAACAAUUUAAAUUAAAAAUAAAAAACUGGGCUAAGGAAUUUAAAGUACCUCACAACAGCUUAAAAUCAUUGUUAGCUAUUUUAAAUGAACAUGUAAAAAUAGAUUUUCCUAAAGAUCCUCGCACACUUUUGGGAACACCAAAAACCACGCGCAUAGAAAAUAUGGGACAUGGGCAAUACUGUCACUUUGGAUUGUGGUGCUAAAAUACGGAUAAUGGUGCUAAAAAUAGGAACGACAAUUCACAAACUGAUACUUAACAAGAAGGAUCGUUUAGUGCAGAUAACUUGUCAACUGUAUUGAGGCUUAUUCUGACAAAGCAAAAUAAAAUCGUAAAACAGAACGAAAUUAUAAUGACUAAAAUUACGAAUCUCGAGAAAAAAGUUUCUCUUACAGAAACAAGUCAUUGCCAGUUGAGUAACCGAACAAAAGAUAAAUUAUAUGAAACGUUCAUUAUAAAAACUACGAACGAUCUAGAGCAGUUUGACGCUUGUUUAAAAAAAAAGAAGUUUUUUGAUGAAGUUGUUGAAUUUUUAAAGCAAAAAGGAGGUCCUGAUGUGCGGUCUCAUGUGUUUAAUAUUUUAAACACUACAAUAAGUAAUUCUGUUGCAACACAAUAUAGUUAUAAGGGUCAAAAGAAAAAAAAGAUUU